CCUACGGGAGGCAGCAGUGGGGAAUAUUGGACAAUGGGGGAAACCCUGAUCCAGCAAUGCCGCGUGAGUGAUGAAGGCCUUAGGGUCGUAAAGCUCUUUUACCAGGGAUGAUAAUGACAGUACCUGGAGAAUAAGCUCCGGCUAACUCCGUGCCAGCAGCCGCGGUAAUACGGAGGGAGCUAGCGUUGUUCGGAAUUACUGGGCGUAAAGCGUGCGUAGGCGGUUAUUCAAGUCAGAGGUGAAAGCCCGGGGCUCAACCCCGGAACGGCCUUUGAAACUAGAUAACUAGAAUCUUGGAGAGGUCAGUGGAAUUCCGAGUGUAGAGGUGAAAUUCGUAGAUAUUCGGAAGAACACCAGUGGCGAAGGCGACUGACUGGACAAGUAUUGACGCUGAGGUACGAAAGCGUGGGGAGCAAACAGGAUUAGAUACCCUGGUAGUCCACGCCGUAAACGAUGAUAACUAGCUGUCCGGACACUUGGUGUUUGGGUGGCGCAGCUACGACAUUAAGUUAUCCGUCCGUCGGGUAGGUACGGUCGCGAGAAUUAAACUACAAAGAAGUUAGUACGGCGUGAGACGUGCCGAACGGACGACGACGAGGGAGUAGG
RNAcentral lists this ribosomal RNA (606 nucleotides) under uncultured bacterium. RNAcentral's name for it is "bacterial SSU rRNA". The stretch from base 1 to 518 matches the Rfam family "Bacterial small subunit ribosomal RNA", at positions 338 to 873 of the family's 1533-position model. The record is from RNAcentral.